UUCCGUUGGCUCGUAGUAACAGAGCGAAAAUGGCGUAGAGCGGAGGGUGUGCGGAGACGGGGACGAGAGGACCUUCUCCUCUCCGGGGUGUAACGGAGGGAGGAAAGGGGGGCCCGGCGGGCCGGUUUGUCGGUUUAUUCUUCUCUUACCGUGUCUUCACCAAGCGCGGCCACACUCCAGAGAGGAAACCCGGCGUACGUCCAGUUUGGGAGAAAUGUGUCACCGUAGAGGAAGAAACCCCCCUGGCUUUUGUUUACCAUUGUGAGCUGCAGCAGCUCGAACCCCGGUGAAAAUACCUCUGCACCAUCUCGGACCAGCGCUCACACCAAGGAUGGGUUUUCCAGUCCAUGCCGUUCUGACACCAGCCGCAGCCCAGCCUGAAGGAACAACUCCCCUCAAAUCAGCCCCAGCAACACCAUCGACGGAUCACUUCAACAGCCACCCAGACUUGUGGAGGUAAAGGACGAAGAGUCACUGUGAAGAUGACCUCUUUUGGGCUUUUGGGACAUGGGUGCCCUCCUUCCUGCUGUUACUGGGACAUUGGCUCUCUCUCCUCCACACCAACCCCCCUCUCCUGGCCUGUUUCUGCAGCAUGAUCAUCAGUCAGGGCAUCUGCCAAUGCUGUGGACUAGUCUGACUUCCAUCACGCACACUCUGACUACGUCUACAUGUAGCGUAACGUCGGCUUUGCGGCCACUAAGUUGGCUGUAAGGUCGGGGGGAGUUUCAUGUCUCAGUGCAUGUAAACGUAGUCACUUCUGCCUCCUGAUUAAGUAGAAAAAAAAGUCCCCGUACGCUCUGUAAUUAGAUCAAAGCAGUUUGAUAAUGACCAAACUGCUCCGGUGUCCCGGGAAGAACGCAAAGACACAAGAUACUGUAGCAAAGAUCAAGGCCUGUGAUUAAAUUAGACUCAUAGGGUGUUUUUCGUUUGUUUCGUGCACUACCUCAUCGCCAUAACAAGUCCAACAGGGAGUGAAUGAUCAGUACAAGUAGCAUAAUGGUUGUCAAGCGCCACAGCAGUUUUAUACGUUGUUCCUGGAUUCAUUUAGGUUUGAAUAGGAGAAGGCCGAGCAGCCCAGAAGCACACAAUGCGUCAUUUACUAUUCAGUUUAAAGGUUUUGACUGCGGUCCCCUAUGCAUCUGCUCUAAAGGACGGUCACAAGGAAGUGUUUUUACGUCAUGCUCUAAUUUGCAUUUCGGUGCUCUCUUUCUGUGGAGGUUUAUUCCCAAAUUGAAGGUAAAGACAGAAUUGGCAAUUUCCCCCUUGUGACAUCGUCCUUGAGAUCCCAAAAAUUUGCCGAUUUACAGUAUUUAAAGAUAAUCGUUUUUUCCCCUUUUUACUAUCUUCAUUUUUUCUUUCUUCCCCCUCCUUUAGUAUACUUUUAUGUUGUCUUUCUCCGUGGAUAUGCUCUCAUUUUGUCCUCUCCCCCACUUGACAUGAGCUCUCAUAUAAGAGACGUACAAACAUGACAUUCUCAACACGCUGCAGGUAGAGACACAAUUGACUUUUUGAUUCCUUUUGUGCCACGAGCCAAAACAGUCCCUAACAAUAAGUGAACCUGGCUUAUCAAACAUCACGCUUCGUCUCUACCUGCCGUCUCUGUGUCCAGUAAGCGGAGAGAUACCAGUGCUGAAGUAGCAGCUCCUUUGAUUCAAGCUUGGAUUCAAACCCUGGUCUCAUUUCUUCAACUUUCUUUUGGUUCAUUUUUUAUAUGAUGAAAAAAAAAAUCACAUUUACCGGGAUUUGUGCAAUAUUUGAUCUUAACUGUCAUGUUGUUGACCAAACUGUAUAUUGUAUAAACAAGUGACAAGUUGUUUGAAAGCAACAAAAUCACCAAUGUCUUCCAUUAAGAUAUGUAUAGACUCAUGCGCAUUAGCUUAUUUAGCGGGACUUUUGCGGUGCCAACAUUAUAGUAGCCAUGCAUGACCAGUAGUGAUGCUUGCUUCAUGAAGAAUAGUGAAAUCAGUUUCUAGACUAAGCUGGAGCUCAAAAACUGCAGAAAACCAUUUUAGUCAAAUUAGAGGGUGGUAGAUUGACGUACUGCGCCUUUAAACACACCACGGUUAGGUACAGCUUUGCCCUAAAAUCUUAGACUAAUACAAGACCUCCUUUUUAUUCCAUGUGUUGGGUGUAGAAUAAGAAACAUACGAUUAAACACAAUCAGGGUUUAUGCAGUUAAUAUGUAUUGAUUCAAGUUUAUUUAGGCGCAUAUGCUCAAUAUAAGUAAGUGCUUUUUAACUGAACUGCUGUAGGAUUCUUGUCUGAAAAAACAAACGCUUAAGAGAUGUCGUAAAUUAACCCAGCUGCCAGAAAAAAAAAAAGUUGGUGUUAUAUGUUUCUGCAUUCCACGUGUUUACAGUGCAACAACGCUGUGAUUAAAGUAUCGUUAGGUUUAGGCACGAAAACCACUUGGUUAUGGUUAGGACAAGAUCGUGUGUUAGCUUAAAAUACCCGGUUUUCGGGGCACAAUCCCGGCAGGAAAAGCAGCGAUGUCUCGAUGAAAAACAACUGCUUGUUCGUGACACUAUCCCACAAAGAGUUGCUCCAAAACACCCACGUUUGGAGCCUAAAUAGCCGCUCAAACUAGAGAUGUACGAUAAUAUCGGCAUGUCAUUGCUAUUGGCCGGUAUUUAAGAUGAACUGUUGGAAUCGGCCAACAUGCUUUUUCUUAUUUUGCACAAUGAAUGAAUAUUACGUACAUUGAAAAAUAUUAUAUUUCAUGUCUCCAUCUGCUGGUGGGCCAUCAUGAUAAGAGUAUGCAUGUAUAAUAUGAUGUUAAUUCCACUACAGAAGAGACUUGAUGAUCACUAAAAUUAGGUGGGGAAAAAAGUGGAUAUAUCGAUAUCUGUAUCAGUUAUCGGCAAAAGUAAAUAUUGGCAUAUCAGAUAUCGGCAAAGAAAUCCAAUAUUGUGCUUCCCUAGCUAAAACACAAACGUUUUUUUUUUGUGCAUGUUGGUCUCGAACAGAGGUCUGCUGUAGUGACGGGCAAAAAUGAACGAAUGAAUCUUUUUGAACGACUCUUUUUAGUGUCCGAUAUGUAACGAGUCAGUCUGUCGAACAUGCAAGUGCUCAUGAAUCCCUGACUUUUCCCACUUGCUGUUGUCACACUACAUGCUAUGAUGAGUGAACAAGAAGCAAUCAAAUCAUGCUUAAGUCAAGACCUCCACGAGCCAAGGGCAAUGGUGCAUUCACGUUCACCUGGAUGGUCGCUCUUUUGACUUCAGUUUGGUCAUGAGCUUUAAAUUGUAAUGUUGAAACAACAAAUUAUCCUGACACCACAUAAAUGCAGCACAAGGCAGCAGAGGAAACUGGGACGUCUGCUUCUUGCCCCUCAAAGAAUGAUAGACUGUUGGUCAGUGACAUUUCUGUAACAUCGGCUUAUAUAUUACAUCACUUUAGAAACAAUUAUGUGGUUCAUAUGAAGCGUGCAAAUAUUACGUCUUUGUGGUCUGCAGAAACUCACAAUGCCAACAUUUUCCUCUGGUGACUGAGCUGCCUAAAUCGUAUUCAUGCACUCUCAAGCAGCAAAAGAAUUAGGAAGUCAUUAUGCAACAGCCAAAAAGCUCCUGAAAAACGUGUCUCAGUUGUGACAAAGAUAAAAACCUUUAGAGAAACGUUCUAUUAAGAGUAGCGCUUUAAUCUUAGAUUUGGGUAUAAUUGGUGGGGAUCCGACGUAGCGUUUUAGUCCUAGAAUUAAGAUCUCACCAUGACAUUGUAUUGUACAUAAUACCUCAUAGUUUUGGGAUUCAGAGCGAGAUAUUUUAAUCCAUAAAAUUGUAUUUGAUUAUAGUUUUAGAAGCAAUAACCUACAAUAAUGCAUGAGUUUAGUGCCAGGGUGUAAGUGUUAAAAGGAGUCUGUAAUGUCAUGUGGAAAGAAUUCCUCCCCUCUCUCCUUUAUGCUUACAGUAGCUGUCUAUUAGUCACUUUUUGUUUGGGGAGUGGCUUAAUAUUUGGCUUUAGAAUACAGUAUCACUUAAUGAAGGUUUGGGAUACUUCCUGUAGAACAAAGUAUACGCGAGAACAGUAGCAUCGUGGUAUUACACAGACAAAUUAAAGCAAAUAGUUAUAUUUUUCCCUGCCUUGUAUUCUUGUAUUCAACACCAAAACAAUAAACGUAUAGGUACAUGAGAGAUGCUUUACAAUUCUUGUAGCAUUUUUACAUCCACAAAAACCCGCCCCUUCCUUUUAGAAAUCUAGACUUUCAGUAACUCUGUGGCUGCAAAGGACUUACUGAAUGAACUUGACACUUGUUUGAAAAGCACUUUCUCUCUAUGUACUGACUUGCACUGUCAUCAUCACCAUCCUGUCUUGAAUACUGUGUUCUAAAAACCCUGUAAUGCUCUUCGUGGGGAUUUAUAAUCACAAUUUAUAAGCAAGUAGGCGUCUAGCAACAUGAAUAUAUGGGUUUAAAAAAUAUGCAUGACUUAGCAGAAUAACGAAUGAUUUGUAUUGCAUGCAAUAAUCCAACUUUGUAAUGUGAAUGAGUGUAAUUAGGCUCUUGAAACGUUCAUAUCAGAUGUUCUGUGACAAAGGUGACAACCUGGGGACGGCUGUUUGACACAACAGCGAGCAUGUCGGAGUAGCUUCGAUCACCACUUGUGAUUUUUACGGACUAAACUGCACCAAAAAAUAAAGUAACGGAGAGUAGUUUUAAGUGUUUCCUGCUCUCACUCUGUUGUGUCAAACAUGACCGUGGCAGUGCGGCCACAGUGCAGCUGAAAAACACUGAUCAGCCUUUGUUCCCAUGAUAAAAAAAAAAAUAACAAAAGCUUAGGUUAAAUGAUUAAUGACAUUACUUUGUUGAUCAACUUUUCCACUGAGGAGGUGGACUGUGUAGAAACUAUGCACUCCAGAGGGAGGAAAUGGGCAUGCUUAUUACGUGUGAGCCUCUUGUCUGGUUUUGUAUUAACUAAAGAUAAAAAAAAAAAGAAUCUGUAUCAGAAAUUGAGCAAUAAAAUGCAGCAUGGUGCCAAUUGGA
Epinephelus moara (kelp grouper) is the source of this 4978-nucleotide long non-coding RNA. RefSeq lists it as uncharacterized. NCBI's taxonomy places the organism in Eukaryota, Metazoa, Chordata, Actinopteri, Perciformes, Serranidae. The record is from RefSeq and is a predicted model, not a curated record. The transcript is spliced from 2 exons.